GGCGGUUUGGCCGAGUGGUCUAAGGCGAUUGACUAGAACGUUCUUGAGAUCAAGCUAAAUGAAAUCAAGUAUCCUUAAUCAAUUCCGUUCGCGGGCGCAUGUUCGAAUCAUGCAGCCGUCG
RNAcentral lists this transfer RNA (121 nucleotides) under Penicillium chrysogenum. RNAcentral describes it as "tRNA-Ser". It matches the Rfam family "tRNA". From Rfam's summary of the family: Transfer RNA (tRNA) molecules are approximately 80 nucleotides in length. Their secondary structure includes four short double-helical elements and three loops (D, anti-codon, and T loops). Lineage: Eukaryota; Fungi; Ascomycota; Eurotiomycetes; Eurotiales; Aspergillaceae. RNAcentral also lists the same sequence under 2 other names. The record is from RNAcentral.